GGAGUUAGCCGGUGCUUCUUCUGCGAGUAACGUCACAGAUGUAAGGUAUUAACUUACACCCUUUCCUCCUCGCUGAAAGUGCUUUACAACCCGAAGGCCUUCUUCACACACGCGGCAUGGCUGCAUCAGGGUUUCCCCCAUUGUGCAAUAUUCCCCACUGCUGCCUCCCGUAGGAGUCUGGGCCGUGUCUCAGUCCCAGUGUGGCUGAUCAUCCUCUCAGACCAGCUAGGGAUCGUCGCCUAGGUGAGCCUUUACCUCACCUACUAGCUAAUCCCACCUGGGCUUAUCCAUCAGCGCAAGGCCCGAAGGUCCCCUGCUUUCCCCCGUAGGGCGUAUGCGGUAUUAGCAGUCGUUUCCAACUGUUAUCCCCACAAAUGGGCAAAUUCCCAGGCAUUACUCACCCGUCCGCCGCUCGUCAUCUUCAAAGCAAGCUUUUAGAAUGUUACCGCUCGACUUGCAUGUGUUAGGCCUGCCGCCAGCGUUCAAUCUGAGCCAUGAUCAAACUCUGA
Molecule: ribosomal RNA, 509 nt
Filed under: uncultured bacterium
Lineage: Bacteria
Description: partial 16S ribosomal RNA
Source: RNAcentral